AGUGAACGCUGGCGGCGUGCCUAAUACAUGCAAGUCGAACGGAGUGGAGCACGGGUGAGAAAUAUAUAGCUAAUCUGCCCCUUGCUGGAGGUCAACAGUUUGAAAUGAGUGCUAAUACUCCAUAGCAAGGGAUGAGACUAUAUCGUAUCAGCUAGUCGGGGGGGUAACGGCCUACCGAGGCUAUGACGCGUAACUGGUCGGAGAGGAUGAUCGGUCGCAUUCGAACUGAGACACGGUCCGAACACCUACGGGAAGCAGCAGAAGGGAAUAAUGGACAUUGGGGGUGAGUCUAACACAGAAACGGAUCGUGGAGGAUGACACUUUGCGGAGCGAAAAAUCCUUUUGAUGGGGAAGCGGUACCUAACGAAUAAGCACCGGCUAAAUCCGUGCCAACAGCCGCGGUAAUAC
This 408-nucleotide ribosomal RNA is filed under the name uncultured bacterium. RNAcentral's name for it is "partial 16S ribosomal RNA". It matches the Rfam family "Bacterial small subunit ribosomal RNA", at positions 29 to 526 of the family's 1533-position model. The record is from RNAcentral.